Molecule: ribosomal RNA, 1245 nt
Filed under: uncultured Agaricomycetes
Lineage: Eukaryota; Fungi; Basidiomycota; Agaricomycetes
Description: eukaryotic LSU rRNA
Rfam family: Eukaryotic large subunit ribosomal RNA (bases 578-1245)
Source: RNAcentral
AAGUCGUAACAAGGUUUCCGUAGGUGAACCUGCGGAAGGAUCAUUAUCGAGUCCUGGGGAUUGUGCUGGCUUUGGCAAGUGCACGUCUCUCACCACUUUAAACUACACUUGUGAACCUUGGAGGUGCGUCCCCCGUGCGGGUGGGCGUUGCCUAUUUUACUUGCACACUUUGUAUCUAUCGGAAUGUAAAUGGGUUUUAUGCAAACCUAAAUAAAUAUAACUUUCAACAACGGAUCUCUUGGCUCUCGCAUCGAUGAAGAACGCAGCGAAAUGCGAUAAGUAAUGUGAAUUGCAGAAUUCAGUGAAUCAUCGAAUCUUUGAACGCACCUUGCGCUCCCCGGCAUUCCGGGGAGCAUGCCUGUUUGAGUGUCAUGAAAAUCAUCAACCUCACCGUUGACGCGGUGAUGGAUUGGACUUGGAUGUUUGCUGGGGCCUUGGUUGCCUCGGCUCAUCUCAAAUGCAGCAGUCGAUUCACUUGACCUCGACCGCUCGGUGUGAUAGUUACAUCUACGCCGGGUUUCGGGAGGACAAGCGGCUUCUCAACCGUCUCCUUUUGGGACAAAUGUUUUCAAACCUCUGACCUCAAAUCAGGUAGGACUACCCGCUGAACUUAAGCAUAUCAAUAAGCGGAGGAAAAGAAACUAAUAAGGAUUCCCCUAGUAACGGCGAGUGAAGCGGGAUGAGCUCAAAUUUAAAAUCUGGCGGUCUUCGGCCGUCCGAGUUGUAGUCUAGAGAAGUGUUUUCUGUGCCGGACCGUGUACAAGUCCCUUGGAACAGGGCGUCAUAGAGGGUGAGAAUCCCGUCUUUGACACGGACCCCCGGUGCUCUGUGAUGCGCUCUCAAAGAGUCGAGUUGUUUGGGAAUGCAGCUCAAAAUGGGUGGUAAAUUCCAUCUAAAGCUAAAUAUUGGCGAGAGACCGAUAGCGAACAAGUACCGUGAGGGAAAGACGAAAAGCACUUUGGAAAGAGAGUUAAACAGUACGUGAAAUUGUUGAAAGGGAAACGAUUGAGGUCAGUCGCGUCUGCCGGGACUCAGCCUUGCUUCUGCUUGGUGCACUUCCUGGUUUGACGGGCCAGCAUCGAUUUUCGGCCGGCGGAUAAAGGUCGAGGGAAUGUGGCACCUUCGGGUGUGUUAUAGCCUUUGGCCGGAUACGUCGGUGGGGAUCGAGGGACUCAGCACGCCUUUACGGUCGGGGUUCGCCCACGCCACGUGCUCAGGAUGCUGGCAUAAUGGCCUUAAACGACC